RNAcentral lists this ribosomal RNA (845 nucleotides) under Monochamus sutor. Its description in RNAcentral is "partial large subunit ribosomal RNA". It matches the Rfam family "Eukaryotic large subunit ribosomal RNA", at positions 151 to 770 of the family's 3401-position model. The record is from RNAcentral. Lineage: Eukaryota; Metazoa; Arthropoda; Insecta; Coleoptera; Cerambycidae.
GUUAGGGAGGAGCCGAUUAUCCCGAGGUCGUGCGGGGCGUCCAAGUCCUUCUUGAAGGGGCCACAGCCCAUAGAGGGUGCCAGGCCCGUAGCGACCGCUGCCGAUCGCGGGAGGAUCUCUCCUCAGAGUCGGGUUGCUUGAGAGUGCAGCCCUAAGUGGGUGGUAAACUCCAUCUAAGGCUAAAUAUGACCACGAGACCGAUAGCGAACAAGUACCGUGAGGGAAAGUUGAAAAGCACUUUGAAGAGAGAGUUCAAGAGUACGUGAAACCGUUCAGGGGUAAACCUGAGAAACCCGAAAAGUCGAAAGGGGAAAUUCAUUCGCGUCUCGACCGUCGGAGUGGAGCGAUCGAGCGACGGACGGCGUACGCGUCGUCCGCGCCUUUCGUUUUACGUUUCGGCGUCGAACGCGUGCACUUUUCCCCUAGUAGGACGUCGCGAUCCGUUGGGCGUCGGUCUAAGGUCCGCGGUGGAGCCCGGGCGUGCGUCUUCGGACGUUUGCGCUCGGACCCGCGGUAUCCCGGCCGACUCGCUCGACGGUAUACAGAUGGCGCGGGGCCGCUAUUUCAAUUAGCGUUCGGCCCGCGGCAAGCGCGUACGGUGUUGUCGACGAUCGGACCUGGUGCCGGUCUCGUCCCCGGACGACUGUUGGCCGCGGUUUUCUCGAACAGACCUCGUUACGAAACGCCGAUCUGCGACGCUAUAGCUUUGGGUACUUUCAGGACCCGUCUUGAAACACGGACCAAGGAGUCUAGCAUGUGCGCGAGUCAUUGGGACAUAACUAAACCUAAAGGCGCAAUGAAAGUGAAGGUCCGUCUCGCGCGGACCGAGGGAGGAUGGGCGAUUC